This 110-nucleotide small RNA is filed under the name Flavobacterium xueshanense. Its description in RNAcentral is "Flavo-1 RNA". It matches the Rfam family "Flavo-1 RNA". Lineage: Bacteria; Pseudomonadati; Bacteroidota; Flavobacteriia; Flavobacteriales; Flavobacteriaceae. The record is from RNAcentral.
GAAUAGCCCUGAUGGCAGGAAGUAUCCUUUUUAGGGCGGGAAACAAAUACGCAUUAUGAUUCCAAAAGUAGUUCCGCACUAAAAAGAUACUCCGUACAGCGGGAGAAUCU